Molecule: ribosomal RNA, 301 nt
Filed under: uncultured bacterium
Lineage: Bacteria
Description: partial 16S ribosomal RNA
Rfam family: Bacterial small subunit ribosomal RNA
Source: RNAcentral
CAGUCGCGCGGGAACACGGAGGGUGCAAGCGUUAAUCGGAAUUACUGGGCGUAAAGCGCACGCAGGCGGUCUGACAAGUCAGAUGUGAAAUCCCCGGGCUUAACCUGGGAACUGCAUUUGAAACUGUCAGGCUGGAGUCUUGUAGAGGGGGGUGGAAUUCCAGGUGUAGCGGUGAAAUGCGUAGAGAUCUGGAGGAAUACCGGUGGCGAAGGCGGCCCCCUGGACAAAGACUGACGCUCAGGUGCGAAAGCGUGGGGAGCAAACAGGAUUAGAUACCCCGGUAGUCCCUGUCUCUUAUACA